This 225-nucleotide long non-coding RNA is filed under the name Capsella rubella. Its description in RNAcentral is "long non-coding RNA (CRUB_LNC001308)". The record is from RNAcentral. Lineage: Eukaryota; Viridiplantae; Streptophyta; Magnoliopsida; Brassicales; Brassicaceae.
UAAUUCUGACGUCCAAAUCCGAAUCUGUAUAGUUGUAGAGUUGUAGUUCUGUAAGAAAAAAUUAUUGCAGAUGUAGUUUAACGUGUAAAAUACAUUUGUGAGUUAGAUUAUUUUUUUUUUGUUUUUUCUUUUUUUGACUAUGUAAAUUAUCCAAUAUCCACUGUAAAAUGGAAAAACGUGGUUUGGUUUCGCUUUUGCCUUAAUUUUUCUUUAACUAAUUUUUGC